UGCGAUACGUAAUGCGAAUUGCAGAAUUCAGUGAGUCAUCGAAAUUUUGAACGCAUAUUGCACUUUCGGGUUAUACCUGGAAGUAUGUCUGUAUCAGUGUCCGUA
RNAcentral lists this ribosomal RNA (105 nucleotides) under Globisporangium schmitthenneri. RNAcentral's name for it is "Pythium schmitthenneri partial 5.8S ribosomal RNA". It matches the Rfam family "5.8S ribosomal RNA", at positions 54 to 154 of the family's 154-position model. Rfam says of the family: 5.8S ribosomal RNA (5.8S rRNA) is a component of the large subunit of the eukaryotic ribosome. It is transcribed by RNA polymerase I as part of the 45S precursor that also contains 18S and 28S rRNA. The record is from RNAcentral. Lineage: Eukaryota; Oomycota; Peronosporomycetes; Pythiales; Pythiaceae.